CCAAUAGCGUAUAUUAAAGUUGUUGCAGUUAAAAAGCUCGUAGUUGAAUUUCGGGGUCAGUAGGUUGGUCAUGCCACUGGUAUGUACUGGCCUCACUGAUUCCUCCUUCCUGAUGAGCCGUAAUGCCAUUAAUUUGGUGUUGCGAGGAAUCUGGACUGUUACUUUGAAAAAAUUAGAGCGUUUAAAGCAGGCUAACGCUUGAAUACAUUAGCAUGGAAUAAUGAAAUAGGACGUUCGAUCUUAUUUUGUUGGUUUCUAAGAUUGACGUAAUGAUUAAGAGGGAGAGUUGGGGGCAUUAGUAUUCAAUUGUCAGAGGUGAAAUUCUUGGAUUUAUUGAAGACUAACUACUGCGAAAGCAUUUGCCAAGGAUGUUUUCAUUAAUCAAGAACGAAAGUUAGGGGAUCGAAGACGAUCAGAUACCGUCGUAGUCUUAACCAUAAACUAUGCCGACUAGGGAUCGGAUGAUGUUAAUUUUUUAAUGACUCAUUCGGCGCCUUACG
This 500-nucleotide ribosomal RNA is filed under the name uncultured Glomeromycotina. Its description in RNAcentral is "partial small subunit ribosomal RNA". It matches the Rfam family "Eukaryotic small subunit ribosomal RNA", at positions 591 to 1092 of the family's 1831-position model. The record is from RNAcentral. Lineage: Eukaryota; Fungi; Glomeromycota.